GGUGGUUUGUCGCGUUGUUCGUGAAAACUCACAGCUUAACUGUGGGCGUGCGGGCGAUACGGGCAGACUGGAGUACUGCAGGGGAGACUGGAAUUCCUGGUGUAGCGGUGGAAUGCGCAGAUAUCAGGAGGAACACCGGUGGCGAAGGCGGGUCUCUGGGCAGUAACUGACGCUGAGGAGCGAAAGCGUGGGGAGCGAACAGGAUUAGAUACCCUGGUAGUCCACGCCGUAAACGGUGGGUACUAGGUGUGGGUUUCCUUCCUUGGGAUCCGUGCCGUAGCUAACGCAUUAAGUACCCCGCCUGGGGAGUACGGCCGCAAGGCUAAAACUCAAAGAAAUUGACGGGGGCCCGCACAAGCGGCGGAGCAUGUGGAUUAAUUCGAUGCAACGCGAAGAACCUUACCUGGGUUUGACAUGCACAGGACGCCGGCAGAGAUGUCGGUUCCCUUGUGGCCUGUGUGCAGGUGGUGCAU
RNAcentral lists this ribosomal RNA (473 nucleotides) under uncultured Mycobacterium sp. Its description in RNAcentral is "bacterial SSU rRNA". It matches the Rfam family "Bacterial small subunit ribosomal RNA", at positions 574 to 1046 of the family's 1533-position model. The record is from RNAcentral. Lineage: Bacteria; Bacillati; Actinomycetota; Actinomycetes; Mycobacteriales; Mycobacteriaceae.